Molecule: ribosomal RNA, 456 nt
Filed under: Bacillus subtilis
Lineage: Bacteria; Bacillati; Bacillota; Bacilli; Caryophanales; Bacillaceae
Description: bacterial SSU rRNA
Rfam family: Bacterial small subunit ribosomal RNA
Source: RNAcentral
UACAGAUGGACCCGCGGCGCAUUAGCUAGUGGUGAGGUAACGGCUCACCAAGGCUGCGAUGCAUAGCCGACCUGACAGGGUGAUUGGCCACACUGGAACUGAAAUACGGCCCAAACUCCUACGGGAGGCAGCAGUAGGGAAUCUUCCGCAAUGAACGAGACUCUGACGGAGCAACACCACGUGAGUGAUGAAGGUAUCCGGUUCGUAAAGCUCUGUUGUUAGGGAAGAACAAGUGCCGCUCAAAUAGGGUGACACCUUGACGGUACCUAGCCUGAAUGCCACGCCUAACUACGUGCCAGCAGCAGCGGUAAUACGUAGGUGGCAAGCGUUGUCCGGAAUUAUUGGGCGUAAAGGGCUCGCAGGCGGUUUCUUAAGUCUGAUGUGAAAGCCCCCGGCUCAACCGGGGAGGGUCAUUGGAAACUGGGGAACUUGAGUGCAGAAGAGGAGAGUGGAAUU